RNAcentral lists this ribosomal RNA (253 nucleotides) under uncultured bacterium. RNAcentral's name for it is "partial 16S ribosomal RNA". It matches the Rfam family "Bacterial small subunit ribosomal RNA", at positions 524 to 776 of the family's 1533-position model. The record is from RNAcentral.
UACGAAGGGGGCUAGCGUUGUUCGGAUUUACUGGGCGUAAAGCGCGUGUAGGCGGGUCGUUACGUUGGGGGUGACAUCCCGAGGCUCAACCUCGGAACUGCCUUCAAAACUGGCGGCCUGGAGCAAUGAAGAGGCGAGUGGAAUUCCGAGUGUAGAGGUGAAAUGCGUAGAUAUUCGGAGGAACACCAGUGGCGAAGGCGACUCGCUGGUCUGUUGCUGACGCUGAGACGCGAAAGCGUGGGGAGCAAACAGG